RNAcentral lists this ribosomal RNA (301 nucleotides) under uncultured bacterium. Its description in RNAcentral is "partial 16S ribosomal RNA". It matches the Rfam family "Bacterial small subunit ribosomal RNA", at positions 509 to 807 of the family's 1533-position model. The record is from RNAcentral.
CAGCAGCCACGGUAAUACAGAGGGUGCGAGCGUUAAUCGGAUUUACUGGGCGUAAAGCGUGCGUAGGCGGCUUCUUAAGUCGGAUGUGAAAUCCCUGAGCUUAACUUAGGAAUUGCAUUCGAUACUGGGAAGCUAGAGUAUGGGAGAGGAUGGUAGAAUUCCAGGUGUAGCGGUGAAAUGCGUAGAGAUCUGGAGGAAUACCGAUGGCGAAUGCAGCCAUCUGGCCUAAUACUGACGCUGAGGUACGAAAGCAUGGGGAGCAAACAGGAUUAGAUACCCCCGUAGUCCCUGUCUCUUAUAC